Long non-coding RNA from Pseudomyrmex gracilis, 1050 nucleotides. RefSeq lists it as uncharacterized. NCBI's taxonomy places the organism in Eukaryota, Metazoa, Arthropoda, Insecta, Hymenoptera, Formicidae. The record is from RefSeq and is a predicted model, not a curated record. The transcript has 5 exons.
AUGUCCACAGCGUGCGGUUCUAUUCCGCGUUGUGACCGCGCGCGGUGUUGCACGCAGAAAAAAAAGCGGCAUUACUGGUGGCGAGAAGUGAAAGAAUUCAGAUCGAAGGUGAAUUACAGCGCAAUCACGUCAUCACGCGCAAGAUAUGGUGUUUUGGUAUUGAUGGCUCGCUAAUCGUGACAAGUUGCGACGUCAAGGAAUAGGAAAUAAACAUUAAAAACUCUUAUAUUUGUAAUCACAUUAUAUUGCGCGUGGGUAAAUAUAAGUUUGCGCCUGAAGAUGCCUGACAAAGAACCAACAAGCGUCAUUAAUAUGACAGAAGAUUUACGUUCCGGAGUAGAAUCUUACCGUAAAAGUACUGAAGUACCAAUGCAAUUAUCAGAAACUGGUUAUAUACCUACAAAGUUCAAUGAAAGCAAUGACAGCAUUAUUUCUCCAAAACGUUCAACAUUAGAUGAUUCUGAUACACCUACACUUGAUAAAACGCAGUCUGAAUCUGCUUCAGGUAGUUCAUGGGAAUGGCGACAUCUAAAAGAAGAAGUAAGAUGACAUAAUAGAAGUCAUAUCACUUAAGACUAGAUUAACUCAUCAAGAAGCAACGGUGCAACAGCUGCACAACAUACGCAGACAAAUGGAAGAAAUCUUUUCAAAUGAAAAAAGUGUCUUGCAAGUACAGUUGCAUUACAGAAUAUGAAACUUAAGCUAGACACGUCAGAAAGAGUACUAUAGGAGGAGAGAAAGUUGAUAGUGGAAAGAGCCGCAAGGGCUGACGAUCUCGAAAAGGAAUUAAACAUGGCAAAAGAAACUAUUGCAGUGCUAAGAGAAUCGGUCAAGGAGAAAUUACUCUUAGAAGAACAAAUAAGCAAUAUGACUAAAAGAUUAGAACAGGCUGAUAAAUUAGACCAAGAAUUACUGAUUUUGGUGAAGACAAAUUUUGAGCUUGAACUUUGUGUGCUAGACUAUGAGAAAAUUAAUAGAGAAAAUGGUAUUGAUUGCGGACCCGUAGCAUUGAAACUAGAGCUAAAUAAACUUCAGCGAGGUUUCCGUGGA